GCCUCACUAGCACAAUGGUUAGUACUUAUCCCCGAACAGGUUGAGACGCGGGUUCGAAUCCCGCGUGUGAUG
This 72-nucleotide transfer RNA is filed under the name Nippostrongylus brasiliensis. It matches the Rfam family "tRNA". From Rfam's summary of the family: Transfer RNA (tRNA) molecules are approximately 80 nucleotides in length. Their secondary structure includes four short double-helical elements and three loops (D, anti-codon, and T loops). Further hydrogen bonds mediate the characteristic L-shaped molecular structure. tRNAs have two regions of fundamental functional importance: the anti-codon, which is responsible for specific mRNA codon recognition, and the 3' end, to which the tRNAs corresponding amino acid is attached (by aminoacyl-tRNA synthetases). tRNAs cope with the degeneracy of the genetic code in two manners: having more than one tRNA (with a specific anti-codon) for a particular amino acid; and 'wobble' base-pairing, i.e. permitting non-standard base-pairing at the 3rd anti-codon position. The record is from Rfam by way of RNAcentral. Lineage: Eukaryota; Metazoa; Nematoda; Chromadorea; Rhabditida; Heligmosomidae.